RNAcentral lists this long non-coding RNA (461 nucleotides) under Gouania willdenowi (blunt-snouted clingfish). Its description in RNAcentral is "lncRNA (ENSGWIG00000003551.1)". The record is from RNAcentral. Lineage: Eukaryota; Metazoa; Chordata; Actinopteri; Blenniiformes; Gobiesocidae.
AAUGAAUCACUUUGAAUGCCUUGCUGAUAAAAUGUACUACAUAAUGUUUCCUUGCCUUAUUAUUGGUCUAAUACAUUAUUUGCUGUCAUGAAUAAUUAUAGUUUUAAUCACAAAUUAUUACAUUUCCGGGUUGUCUGGACUGCAUUACUGAUGGACCAAUCAUUGAUGAGUUUGCCUUAGUGGGCGUGUCUUCAGCGGUAACCACAGUGACAGACGUGCGUCACUCGAGCGUUAAAAACUUGUUCUUUCAACUUGAAAGCGGAAACUUUUUCAGUCUCUAAUAUUCCUGUGAAUAAAAGCACGUUUACCUGCGCUUUGGACAGAAAUAACAACAUUUAUACUUCUGCUAAACAAACGAUGGACAAACUAUUCCAAACACCUUCAAUGAGGACUGUCAUUGUUCUCAAUUUCCUAAGGAAUGCGAGUCAGAUGCGUCACCAUCCGUACCUUUACGCCCAGGC